Coffea arabica (coffee) is the source of this 1137-nucleotide non-coding RNA. NCBI's taxonomy places the organism in Eukaryota, Viridiplantae, Streptophyta, Magnoliopsida, Gentianales, Rubiaceae. The record is from RefSeq and is a predicted model, not a curated record.
UUGGCCGUGAAAGUGAGGAGAGAAAAGGAGAGAAAGAAACAUUUCAUUCCAUCUUAAUUUCUUACUCAAUCUUGCAAACUAACCGAUGGAUUUACCAAAUAAUCCAUGAAAAUUGCUUAGAAAGGUGGAUUGCUAUCUUGGAGUGGAGAGUUUUGGUGGUUCAAGCUUCCUAGAGGCUGUUGUGCUUCUCCAAUACUAGGUUUUCUCGGUGACUAAGGAUAAUAUCCGGAAGGAAAUUUUGUAAGUUAUUUUGCGUACAUAGGUGAGUGUUCCUUAUUUGCUAUAUUAUUCUUGACUCCAUGACUUGUGUUAUUGUUUGAUAACGUGUUAAGUACUUUCCAUGAUUUUCGAAACAAGUUUUCUGGGCGAGUGUGUACUUCAUCGCACUCGACCUAAAUACAUAUGAACUUUUUCAUGAUUUAAUGAUUGAACAAAUGAUUAGUUAUGCAUGAAUGUAAGCCUUCUGGCUGAACUGGGCCCUGCCCUUCGUUACCGAUCGACUCGAGCCAGUAGCGGACUCGGUCGGGCGAUAUGGUGACCCUGGGUGUGAACGUCGGUAUACUCGAGUAUUACCUUGUAGUCCGGACAACGUCCGGAUGGGUGGAGCCUGACCAACGGCUGGGAAGGAAUGAACGAACGAAAGAACAAACGAGGGAUUUUACUUACAAAAAUGCAUUUUUAAACGAUUGGAGGAAUAAGGGGAAAUGUCAAGAGAAUGAACGAACAAACAAAUUGCUCAUUGUGAGCCGUAUCCUUUUAAUGAAUGUGUUACUAUCGCUUUCCAUUGUAAAUGUUUCUUGAAUUAUUGAUACUCCAUAUUUCAUGUAUUGAAAUGACUAUUUGAUUAUGUGUUCGGAAUCUCACUGAGCUCUUAACUUAUCUCUUUAGUUUUGUUUUCCUUAACAGGGGAAGGCAUGCAAGGAUGAGAGCUUAGUAUAGACUAGCUUGGUCUAACUCUUUGAUUUUGUAAUGGUUCUCGCCCUAGUGCUUGGCACGGGCUGAUUGUAUGGUGAAGUGAGAACCUUUGUACCUUUGAUGGUUGUAUUUUUUUUUGAGAUAGUAAUGUAUAUAUAAGUUUCACUUAAAUUUUGGAUUGUUGUAUGUUAUUUCUUUGGUUAUAUUCCGAAUUUGAUUAAG